CGCUGGCGGCGUGCCUAAUACAUGCAAGUCGAACGGUCUUUCUAUGGAAGUUUGCUUCCACUGAGAAGAUAGUGGCGAACGGGUGAGUAACACGUGGGUAACCUGCCCAUAAGAGGGGGAUAACAUCCGGAAACGGGUGCUAAUACCGCAUAGUUUUCUUGAUCGCAUGAUCGGGAAAGGAAAGACGGCCUUUGUGCUGUCGCUUAUGGAUGGACCCGCGGCGUAUUAGUUAGUUGGUGAGGUAAUGGCUCACCAAGACGAUGAUACGUAGCCGACUUGAGAGGGUGAUCGGCCACAUUGGGACUGAGACACGGCCCAAACUCCUACGGGAGGCAGCAGUAGGGAAUCUUCCGCAAUGGACGAAAGUCUGACGGAGCAACGCCGCGUGAGUGAAAGAAGGUUUUCGGAUCGUAAAACUCUGUUGUCAGAGAAGAACAAGUUGGAGAGUAACUGCUCCAGCCUUGACGGUAUCUGACCAGAAAGCCACGGCUAACUACGUGCCAGCCGCCGC
This 511-nucleotide ribosomal RNA is filed under the name uncultured bacterium. Its description in RNAcentral is "bacterial SSU rRNA". It matches the Rfam family "Bacterial small subunit ribosomal RNA", at positions 34 to 518 of the family's 1533-position model. The record is from RNAcentral.